RNAcentral lists this unclassified non-coding RNA (317 nucleotides) under Hevea brasiliensis (rubber tree). Lineage: Eukaryota; Viridiplantae; Streptophyta; Magnoliopsida; Malpighiales; Euphorbiaceae. The record is from RNAcentral.
GGGAGACCUCCGAGGAUAAGCUAAAGGACUACUUUAGCAACUAUGGUGAAGUUAUGCAUACGGUCGUUAUGAGGGAUAAGAUCACUAGCAGACCUAGAGGCUUUGGCUUUGUUGUCUUUGCAGAUCCCUCUGUUCUCGAUCGAGUUCUCCAGGAUAAGCACACUAUCGACGGUAAAACGGUUGAGGCCAAGAGGGCCUUAUCACGGGAGGAACAGCAGACCCCUGCCAGAGCAAUCAAUUCUAAUGCUACUAGAAACUCUGGUGGCGGCGGUGGUGGAAACAUGAGAACCAAAAAAAUUUUUGUUGGGGGAUUGCCU